CGCAGCACAAAAAGCGACUCAACCGCCACCAGAAGACCAGUGGCGGUAACCAAGACCUUGCAGCCAACACCAGCAUCAUGGGCAAGAGGUUCCGCCACUUCAUUUCCUCCACACAAAAGAAGAAGAAAACAGCUCAUCAGGUAGAGAGCACAGUCUCAGUGGUUACAGAAGCACAAGCACCAGCAGAGACCGAGUCCAACCCGCCCCUGGCUCUGCAGCAG
Long non-coding RNA from Oreochromis aureus, 221 nucleotides. RefSeq lists it as uncharacterized. NCBI's taxonomy places the organism in Eukaryota, Metazoa, Chordata, Actinopteri, Cichliformes, Cichlidae. The transcript is spliced from 3 exons. The record is from RefSeq and is a predicted model, not a curated record.